GGACCCGCACAAGCGGUGGAGCAUGUGGUUUAAUUCGAAGCAACGCGAAGAACCUUACCAAAUCUUGACAUCCUCUGACCCCUCUAGAGAUAGAGUUUUCCCCUUCGGGGGACAGAGUGACAGGUGGUGCAUGGUUGUCGUCAGCUCGUGUCGUGAGAUGUUGGGUUAAGUCCCGCAACGAGCGCAACCCUUAAGCUUAGUUGCCAUCAUUAAGUUGGGCACUCUAAGUUGACUGCCGGUGACAAACCGGAGGAAGGUGGGGAUGACGUCAAAUCAUCAUGCCCCUUAUGAUUUGGGCUACACACGUGCUACAAUGGACAAUACAAAGGGUAGCGAAACCGCGAGGUCAAGCAAAUCCCAUAAAGUUGUUCUCAGUUCGGAUUGUAGUCUGCAACUCGACUAUAUGAAGCUGGAAUC
RNAcentral lists this ribosomal RNA (417 nucleotides) under uncultured bacterium. RNAcentral describes it as "bacterial SSU rRNA". It matches the Rfam family "Bacterial small subunit ribosomal RNA", at positions 917 to 1333 of the family's 1533-position model. The record is from RNAcentral.